AUUUGUGUAGAAAUUGCCUCCGAUGAUGAUCAAAUCAUAACUUUCGUUCUUCCGAGAUUUUAUCAUGCGGAGAAAUUAUGGAGACCUGAACUGAGCUGAGGCAAUUUCAUCAUCUCUUUUCUUUUUGUUUUUACAAAUUAUGGUGUCUUUUUUAUCUGGGGUAAGCUCUUAUGAUGUCAAAACUUUCGUUCUCCUGAGAUUUCAAUAUGCUGAAAAAAAUUGGAGACCUGAACUGAAAGAGUACUUAUUUCUUUGAAAACCCUUUUUUGCUCUAUUGUUUUUGUUUUCGUGACUAUUUUCUUAUGGUUUCAUAAAAAAUAAAUUAAUGACCCAAAAUAAUGAGCUUGAUUUUGGAUUAUCACAGGCAACAAGGUGUUAAGAAAAUAGGAAUAACUGAUAAUUUUGGGAAUUAAAACUUGUAAUUGAUGAUUAUUUCUUGCUUAGUUUAACUUGAAACAAACAGAUUGUAU
RNAcentral lists this small RNA (470 nucleotides) under Arabidopsis thaliana (thale cress). RNAcentral's name for it is "putative long intergenic non-coding RNA". The stretch from base 16 to 102 matches the Rfam family "Small nucleolar RNA Z159/U59". Lineage: Eukaryota; Viridiplantae; Streptophyta; Magnoliopsida; Brassicales; Brassicaceae. The record is from RNAcentral.